GAGGCUGCUUUCGGUGUCUUUUAUCUUUCCCACUCUGGGCUCACAUGGCUAACCUUCUCUCACUCUUCACACUUGUGUUAGCUCCCUUGUUGAGGGACUCUCUACUUCCCAAGACCUGGUUCCCCAGCCUCUGGAUGCACUCUUACCGCAGGUCUUAUCAGCGAUAUGCAGGAUUAUAUUACUGAAUUAGAAAAGAUGAACUCUCAGUCAGACAUGGGGCAUAUUGACAAGAUUAUUUGGAGAAGCCAAGCACUGUCAUUCUGUACCUGCUCAGUACACCUUCAGUCUCUAGUUAUCAACAUAGUACCAUUUACCAGGACUCAAUUCACACAAAAAUGAAUGAAUAAAUAAAUGAUCUGGAGUUGUACCAAGAGAGAACAAUAUCAAAAGAUUCAAGUAUAAAUGAUGGAUCAUUUCUGUCAAAAACACCUCUGAUGUCUGCAAGACAAGUGAAAAGACACCCGAGUGUCAGUGAGUGCAUUUACAUGUGCAAUUAAUGCUAUAUGUGUUUACUGAACAGUAAACCAGCCCUGGACAGGCAUCUACAUAUGCAGCCAUUUGGGAGCAGAUUUGCUCCUUUGCCUGCUCCAGGCCUCAUCCGCCCCUGCUCUUCCCCCCCUGCAGCAGCCAGGGGAGCUGGAGGCUCCGGUCACAGCUGCCUGGGGGCCAGGGGCAUUUUUUAAAAGAAAGCCUCCAUAGCCACUGCAUUUCUGGCCUGGAGCAGUCUGCAGUGUGCUGGCACAGCUCUCUGUGACUCCGUUGCCAGUGCCUGUGCCCGCUGUAGCAACAUGUAUGGAUCUCAGAGGCAAAACCAGGAGCAGCAGAAAGGAGGAGUCUGAAGGAGGAACAGGAAGUGAAAGGGAGGAGACAGGAAGAGGAAAGAGAGUUAGAGAAGCUGGGGGAGAACAGCAGGCCCUGUAACAGCUCUGUAAGAAACUGCUAUAAUAAAGACACUGUUUAUAUUAAGUAGGGAGCUGCUCCUUGAUGACCCAUACAGGGUCACAUGAAACAUGGUGGCUGCAGAAAGUCUGUGAGGAAGCCCAAGAGAAGAGAGGGACCUGGGCCCCAGCAGUGAUUCAAACAGAUUGCAAGAAGCAUGGAGGGACUGAAGCCCCCAGCACAGCUGGAUUUCAACACAAAGAGCCUGGCACAGACAUGGAAACAAUGGAAGCAAGACUUCCAUUUGUAUACAGAGUUAGCCAUGGCUGAUAAAGAAGAUAAAAUGAAGGUAAAGCAGUAUUACUAUCUAGUGGGGGAAAAGGCUGUGAAGUAAGAGUAACACUGAUACUAGGGAGCCCUGACACACUAAAACAGUUAAUAGAAGCGUUUGAUGCAUACUGUAAGCCCAGGAGAAAUGAGACUGUAGAGAAAGAUCAUUUUUUUUCACCCAAAACUAAGAGGAAGGAAUAGAGGCCUAUAUCACAGCACUGAAAACUUUGGCAUCCUCAUGAAACUUUGGAGACACAAAAGACUCCAUAAUCAGGGAUAGGAUUGUGUGUGUGGUACACCGGACUGUGCCCUGAGGGAGAGACUACUAAGAGAGGUAGAUCUAAUCCUGGAAAAAUGUCACCAAAUUGCAAGGGCAGCAGAAUUGUCUAAACAAAAGGAUCAAAAUGAUAUCAACAGCCACAUGUACAGAGCAGAUUCAUGUCUCUGGAAACCAGGAACCUGACAGGCCAACUGCAAAUGCUGACAAUAUCAUUCAGUGUGUAUACUCUGGGAACCUGCAUGAAAGGUGGAAGGACAAAUGCCCAACCUAUGGAAAAGAGGGCAAAAAUGUGGAAAAAAAAUAACUUCAGGGGUCAGUGUCAUAGCCACCCAAAUAGGAAAAAAAAACAGUCCAUGCAGGAUCAGGAGACUACAGACGAGGAGGAAGCUUUCAGUGUAAAUUUGACAGAUUCACAGGCUCACAGGAUACACACAUUACAUAAAAAAGCAGGCAACAACUCAGUCAUAUUUGCAACAAUGAUGCUAGAGCAAAGACCUAUAAGAUUCCAUGUGGAUUGUGGAGCCACUUGCAAUGUCCUUCCUGUGAAUCUGUUGAGUAGCAGCAUCAGAAUGGAAAAUGUCACCAAGUGCUGUUAAUGUAUAACAAAAUAACUGUGAGGCCACUGGGAUUCCAGCUGACUAUAAUAAAUCCAUGCAACAAGAAACAGUACUGCCUGGAAUUUAUAGUGAUUGACCCCACUUUAUAGGGUGGACACCCAUCCACAGCUGGGCAGCACAGGUCAUAGAUUUAAUUACAGGGCAAUACCACAACAUCCUCCAGGUCACAGAAGAGCAUGAGCGGUCAUUAGGUUCGCUACCUAACAUUCUGUUAAGAUAUGGAGACAUAUUCCACAGCACUGGACUCUUUGAAGGCAAACUGAAGUUAGAAAUAGAUCCCCAGGUGCAAUCAGUAUGACUACCAAAAUGCAGAGUUCUGCUAGCCCUGCUGGAGCCACUGAAAAAAGAAUUGACAAACCUGCAGAAAAAAAGGCAUUAUCACACCAGUUGAAAAAAGCACUGACCUGGAUCAGCAGCCUAGUAGUAGUAAGGAAGCCGUCAGGCAAACUGAGAAUUUGCAUUAAUUCAAAACCACUUACCAGGACAUUCAAAAGAAGCCACUAUGCCCUGCCAAUGAUUGAGGAUGUACUACCUGACCUGUCUAGGGCAAAAGUGUUCACAGUUUGCAAUGUCAAGAAUGGAUUUUGGCAUGUGGAGCUAGACGAAUCUUCCAGCCACCUGACAACCUUUAGCAUGCCGUUUGGCAGGUAUUACUGGUUAAGGAUGUCCGUGAGGAUCAAUCCAGCUUCAGGAGUUUUCCAGCGGAACCUGAACCAGGAGCUGGAAGGUCUUCCGGGUAUCACGGUUGUGGCUGAUGAUAUUCUUAUCAUAGGAGGAAGGGAUAAUAAGGAAGAGGUGAUCCAUGACUAGGAUGCCAAACUGCAACAACUCCUUAACAGAUGCCAGGAAAGGAACAUUAAACUGAAUGUCAACAAAAUACAGCUGAGAAGAACAGAAGUACCCUACAUUGGACAUCUGCUGGAGGUGGUGAGACCCAGAGGAGGUGAGAGCCAUGAUGCAGAUGCCCAGGCCAUAGGAUGUCAAAGGAGUCCAGCACCUUAUUGGAAUGGUUAACUGUCCAAAUUUUGUGCACACUUGUCUAACGCUUGUGAGCCACUCAGGUUGUUAACACACAAUGAUGCAGCCUGGAAAUGGGCACAGACCCAAGAGGAGGCAUUCAAAAGAAUUAAACUCAUCAGUGAGGCCCCAACACUGACGUACUACAACACAGCUGAGCAACUGGUACUACAGUAUGAUGCAUCAGAAGGAGGUCUGGGAGCAGUACUGAUGCAGAAUCAGCAAACUAUAGCUUUUGCUAGUAGAGCAAUGACUGAAGCCAAAAGGAGAUAUGCACAGAUAGAAAAGGAGUUAUUAGCGGUAUUGUUUGGACUGGAACGGUUCCAUCAGUUCACCUUUAGACAGAGAGUAGAUGUGUAAUCAGAUCACAGACCAUUAGAGAUCAUAAUGAAAAAACCCUUGCUGAGUGCUCCUAAGAGACUUCAAUGUGUGCUGCUGAGACUCCAGGCCUAUGAUGUGAAUAUAAAGUACUACCCAGGGAAGUCCCUGCAAGUGGCAGAUACACUAAGUAGAACAUGCCUUCCAGAGUGCAGCACAGAUGGAUCUGUAGAACAGGAGAUAGAGUCCAUUAAUAUGGUACAGGAUUUACCCAUCUCCAAAAGCAGUCUCAAAGCAAUACAACAGUGUAUAGAACAGGAUGGUAUGCUACAAGCAGUUAAACGAACCAUCCUAGAGGGUUGGCCACAGCACAAGGCACAAAUACUACCAGAAGUUGCUGCAUACAACCAGUGGAGGGAUGAACUAUGUACACAGGAUGGAAUUCUGUUCAAGGGAGACUGGGUGGUGAUCCCAGUAGCUCUGUGGCGAGACAUCAUGAACCGACUUCAUGCUUCACACAUGGGAAUAGAGUCAUGCCUGAGGAGAGCAUGAGAGCGAAUCUACUGGCCAGGCAUGAAUGCCCACUUGAGAACAUACAUGGAGAAAUGUGAGGUGUGCAAGGAAUAUCAUGACAAACAGCAAAAAGAGACAUUGAACCCUCAUGACAUCCCCUCUUGGCCUUGAGACAAGGUAGGGACUGACUUGUUCAGUGUCAAUGACAGAAACUAUGUGGUCACUGUAGAUUACUAUUCCAAUUCUUGGGAGGUGGAUUACCUCGAAGACACUCAGGCAAGAAUGGUGAUCAGAAAGCUGAAGGCUCAUUUUGUGUGGCAUGGAAUACCUGACACACUGUUCUCAGACAAUGGCCCACAAUACACGUCAAGAGAAUUCAAACAGUUCUGCACUAGAUGAGAAUCCCAGCACAAGACAUCAUCCCCUGGGUACCCACAAAGCAAUGGGCAGGCUGAAUCAGCAGUAAAGACAGCCAAGAGACUCCUGUUGAAGGCAAAUAAGACUUCAGGGAAUCCCUACCUGACUCUAUUGGACCAUCACAACACACCCUCCCAAGGAAUGGACAGUAGCCCAGCCCACAGAUUAAUGGGCCAGAGAACUAAGACAUUACUCCCCAUGGGAGACUGUUUGCUACACCCCCAAGGGGGAAGGGGGCACAGGAUAUGGAAGCAGCUAAAAAAGCAACAGUCUCAGCAAGUAUCAACAGUAUAACAAAGGAGCGAGAGACCUGAAACCACUGUGCAGAGAGGAAAAGGUCUGGGUACAACCAGUAAUUCCACAUGUGAAAGAAUGGCAAAAGGCCACCAUUGAGGGUACAGUGGGAGAUAGAUCCUAUGAAGUUGUCACAGAUAGUGGACAGCAACUGAAACAUAACUGGAAGCAGCUGCAGAGUGCUGGCAGAGCAGAAAGACAGGAAGAGGAAGAGAGUUAGAGAAGCUGGGGGAGAACAGUAGGACCUGUAACACCUCUGUAAGAAACUGCUAUAAU
Alligator mississippiensis (American alligator) is the source of this 4941-nucleotide long non-coding RNA. RefSeq lists it as uncharacterized. The record is from RefSeq and is a predicted model, not a curated record. NCBI's taxonomy places the organism in Eukaryota, Metazoa, Chordata, Crocodylia, Alligatoridae. The transcript has 3 exons.